This is a long non-coding RNA of Caretta caretta (loggerhead turtle), 2353 nucleotides long. RefSeq lists it as uncharacterized. NCBI's taxonomy places the organism in Eukaryota, Metazoa, Chordata, Testudines, Cheloniidae. The record is from RefSeq and is a predicted model, not a curated record.
GCUACAGCACUUGACCCAAAGGUUUAAGAAUUUGAAGUGCCUUCCAAAAUCUGAGAGGGAUGAGGUGUGGAGCAUGCUUUCAAAAGUCUUAAAAGAGCAACACUCUGAUGCAGAAACUACAGAACCCGAACCACCAAAAAAGAAAAUCAACCUUCUGCUGGGAGCAUCUGAUUCAGAUGAUGAAAAUGAACAUCCAUUGGUCUGCACUGCUUUGGAUUGUUACCGAGCAGAACCCGUCAUCAGCAUGGACGUGUAAGUUUGAGUGAAAAUUAACCAAUCUUAUGCCACUUUGAAGUAGUGCCAGUGAACUGAAAAAUCUAUUAUUCAUCCACUUUACUGGGGACCUCCAGAACUGAAAUUAUCAGACUCUACGCCGUGCGCCAGGCUUUGCAGCAGCAAUAUCCAGUCUGAUUGUAAGUACUUAAAGUGGGAUGAUUAAACGGAAACCUUAUCUUCAAUGUUCCAAGGUGAAAACUGGAGAGAAGUUAUCCAAUUAUGGAUAAUAAAGAACAGGGAAAAUCUGAGAGCAGAAAUACUUGGUUGGGAUUCACCCAGCUCUGGUCUAAAGCAGGCAAAACACACAAACCGCAAGAAAUAUACAAUGAAAAAAAGCAGCAUCUGUAUUAAAAUGCGGAAUUCAAGCUGGGAGACAUCUUGACAAAAUGGACACCCAGCUACUUCUUACAUGCAAAAGGAAGACAAGAUGAUAAGAGCAAAGUCACUAGAAAAUGUGUAUGAAUGUAGGUAAUUACCUGCAGUAAACAACAUGAAGGAGGGCUAGAAAUGCUAAAAUCUUUUCUUAUUUGAAUGGUUUGGCUUUGUAUGCUUUAUGCAACAGGGGUUCAGAGACAAAAGGCUGAACAUUAGAACUCUAAGAAUGUGCUAAUAACAUUUAUGUGUAAUAUCUCACAAAGGAAAAAUCACAGCUAGGUUUCAGGUUUUUAAGUCGGGAGCAGGCAAUACUAUAUAAAUUAGAAACUUUACUAUCCCCUCUCACACCUCUACCCCCAACUCUAUUUCCAUUCCAUUGAUUUGUCCCUUAAGAGCUGCAUAAAUGAAAGCUGCAUUUUCUGUAAAUAGGAGAAGUCAGGUGAUCAUGUAGGAUUUCAGUCUGCUUUUGCAUUCUAAGGUCUCUAAUGUCAAGUUGUCUGUAAUUUGUACUGAACCAGAAGCAAAAUACUGCUGUGCUGUCACUGGAGUGUCACUGACUUCUCUGCAAAACUGAAUCUCUGUGACAUUUACACAUCCUAAAGACCUGUCUGAGCUUUGCAUUCCACUGAGAUGAUGCAGGAAUUAACAGUUACUUGAAGCUUCAAAUCGAAGCUCUUCUGGCAUUUUGCAGCUAUAGCAAGGAAUAAAAACGAUAACUUGUAACUGACCUUCUGUUCUGCUUCCUGAGAACAGCAUGUGCUGUAGAUCUAUACCUACAGGACUGCACUGGAGAUUUAAAGGCACUGCAAACAUUUCUGAAGAAAAUCUAUUUUACGUAAAUGAAUUUUUGCCAUUUAUUUGGGGAUAAUGAGAGCUGUCUACUUUAUAGUGAGGUGAGGUGUAUAGAUAUUCCACAUACAAAUUGCCAAACAUAGUGCUUCCUUGUUACCAAGGUGUCGCUCAACAGAGACUUAAAAAGGAAAGAACGCAAAUCAAAUUAACUUCAACUCCCACCAAGGAAUCAGAGUAAAAUUAGUACACAACUGGAGUAUAGUGCUCUGUUCAAGCAACAAAGGGUCUCAUUGUUUAUAAGCAUAUUUGCAUAUAUGGAAAACAAUAUCACCAAAUAAACAAAAGGUUCAAUAAAUACCUUUUUAAUUAUAUUGUUAGCAUAAUAAUAAUAGUUCACAUUGCAUUGCUGCAAUACUGAAUGUUUCCUCUUAUCACCAUCAAUUAUUGUAGACAGACCUGUUUAAAUGAAAGUAUUCCCCACCCCCAUCAUGGUCCAUCUUGAUCCCUCUCCAUUCAAUGAAGUUGCAGUCAUUUACAGUACUCAUGUAUUGCAAUAGUUUCUAUGACAACAGAUGAUGAUGUUAAGAGUAAAGAAUUUUGACUUGGGUUUAUGAAUAGGAAGAUAAAGGGAAAUGGACUGCAGUGGAAAAGCUUUUCUUUCAAACUUUUAGCUGAAAUAUCUAAGCUAUUAAUAUUUAACAACAAAUAAUUAUAACUGCACAAAAAAGCAAACAAAAUCAAACUGUUGUUUACCACAGAUCUUUUUGUAGCAAGGAAUAUUUCUCUUCAAAUCUUCACUUGGCUGAAUUAGAUUAGCUUUUGUGCCUCUCAUGGGAAGAAAUCUCAUUGGAGAACAGGGGUCCCUCACAGAUGAUGCUCUGCUCAGGCCCAGAGGGAAUAAUAUUCAAAC